GACGAACGCUGGCGGCGUGCUUAACACAUGCAAGUCGAGCGGUAAGGCCUUUCGGGGUACACGAGCGGCGAACGGGUGAGUAACACGUGGGUGAUCUGCCCUGCACUUCGGGAUAAGCCUGGGAAACUGGGUCUAAUACCGGAUAUGACCUCCUAUCGCAUGGUGGGUGGUGGAAAGAUUUAUCGGUGCAGGAUGGGCCCGCGGCCUAUCAGCUCGUUGGUGGGGUAAUGGCCUCCCAAGGCGCCGACGGGUAGCCGACCUGAGAGGGUGACCGGCCACACUGGUACUGAGAGACGGCCCAGACUCCUACGGGAGGCAGCAGUGGGGAAUAUGGCACAAUGGGCGAAAGCCUGAGGCAGCGACGCCGCGGGAGGGAUGACGGCCCUCGGGUUGUAAACCUCUUUCAGCAGGGACGAAGCGCAAGUGACGGUACCUGCAGAAGAAGCACCGGCUAACUACGUG
This 462-nucleotide ribosomal RNA is filed under the name uncultured bacterium. Its description in RNAcentral is "partial 16S ribosomal RNA". It matches the Rfam family "Bacterial small subunit ribosomal RNA", at positions 28 to 507 of the family's 1533-position model. The record is from RNAcentral.